Long non-coding RNA from Equus asinus (donkey), 4345 nucleotides. The record is from Ensembl. NCBI's taxonomy places the organism in Eukaryota, Metazoa, Chordata, Mammalia, Perissodactyla, Equidae.
UUCUACUUCCAACCGUAAUGAAGGCUAGAGUGUUUAUUAUUAAAUAACCAUAGGAAAGAUUCUAAAAGAUUCUGCAGGCUUCUGAUUCCAUCAUCUCUGAGCCCAUCCUUUUCAGAGAAGUCUCAACAUUGAUUUUAAGACGCUCUGAAUGCCUUGUCAUUCUGGAUGAAGAUGGAAUGUUCAAUGGAGAUGCAGCAAAGGACAGGAGCAGCUUUCAUGUUAAAUUGUCAGAUAAUCACCAGGAAAGCUCUGAAGAGCUGAAGAGUCUGCCAUUGUGAAGACAAAUUAACUUGGCACUUGGCAGGAUGUGUCCUUAUAAGAAGAGGAUAUUAAGAUACAGUCAUGUACAGAGGGAGGACCAUGUGAAGACACAAGGAGAAGGCGGCCAUCUGCAAGCCAAGGAGAGAGGCCUCAGAAGAAAUCAACUCUGCCAACACCUUGAUCUCGGAUUUCUAGCCUCCAGACUAUAUUUGGACUAAGGCUGCAACUCUUCCCUGGGUGUCCAGCCUGCUAGCCUACUCUGCAGAUUUUGGACUUGCCAGCCUCCACAAUCACAUGAGCCAAUUCUAUCUAUCUAACUAUCUAUCUAUCUAUCUAUCUAUCUAUCCAUCAAUCAUCUAUCUACACAACACACACAGACACACAUACACAUAUCCUAUGGUUCUGUUUCCCUGAAGAGCCCUGACUAAUAAAGAGAGCCUGACUUUUCUACUUGAUGUCAAAAAGACCAACAUAGUCAAGAUUUUUUUCCUGUGAUGAUUGUAUUGAUGCUUUUGAUAAAAUACAAAAUAUUACACUUUUCUCUCUCCAAAUUCUGUGUGUGUGUGCGUGUGUGCGCUUACUUUGUUAACUUAGAGUGCCAGCAAGCAAGGUCACCAAAACAGAAAAAAUGUUAUGGUUUAGUAUUGUUCUUUCUUUGAAUUGCAUAUAGAAGUAGGAUACCAUCAUUUUUCAGGUUUCAGGCUGCUAGAGGACUUCAUCUAACCCUCGUGAAAGCUUGAAGUAGUUCCAACAGCUGCUUGGCCUUUUUUGUAAGCCCCGCAUUGGGCACAGAGCCUUCUGGGGUCACCCAGAAGUCCCUCACAUAACAGACACUUGGUCCAAAGAGCAAGUGUUAGCCUCAUGAGUACUUCUAUUUCAACAAAGGCUUGUGCCAGCUAUUUUUAGUCAAGUCCAGGAUGUGCCUAGAUUGUAAACACUUCAAAGAGUAGGGAUGGUAUCUUUAUAGUUCAUACAGAUAGUACACGCAGGAAAUCAUACUUUGAGAACAUAUGCAAUAUAGUCGAUCGAACUAUUAUCUUCAGUGAUGUGGCAGAAUUGGCACUUCAUGUAUGCAAACCACAUGAAAUUAAAGAUAAAAUUUUAGAUACUUAGGACAAAAGUCUACUAUGGAGUGAAAAAGUUUAGGAGGAAAGAGUGUUUUUUCUAAGGGUGGGACUUCAGGGGGCAGAAGAGUUAUUAGCAAGCUUUGGGCCUGAAUGGUAUUUUUAACCAUCUAACCUGACUGAAUUAUUAAUUGUAAUUACUGUAUUUGUUAUAUUAUUAGUGAGCCAAAUUACUACUUUUAUAAACCAGCUGAAUAAUCAUUUUUCUUAUUAUGUAAUUGUUGGCAUAACACGCAGCUUCAAAUCAGACGGUGUCAACCAGUAGGUUGUCGAAUCUUGGUUUAAAAUAUGGCUGAUGAUGAUUGAUUGACGUUUCAUUUUCCUUUUAAUCCUUAUCCAUCUUUUGACCCUCUGCAUGAAGAAUAUAGUAAAUUGCCAAUGAACAUCUUUACAAAGGGUUGCCUGAAGGAGAAAAUAAACAGAAGAAAAUAAACAGAUAAGGGAAGUAGAGAGAAUAUGUAAGAAUGUACACAGAGCAGAGGGGAACAGGAAGGUGAUGAUCCAGGCAAGAAGCCUGGAAGCAAAGGGAUGAGAAUCAAAGGCAGACUCCUUCUUAGGAAUUUAUUAAUAAAAUCAAAUCCUGGUCCAAAAGCCCACGUAUUUGGGUGAGUUCUGAAGAACUACAGAGAUAGGCCAAAAAUAUGAGACCCUGUUUAUAAUGAUCAAAACAACCCAAUUCAGGGGGGUGCAAAAUAACUGUCCCACCAAAUUUGCUUGUUAGGUUAUGCUCUUAAAUAAAGGAAAUCAUAGAUAGUGGCCCAAAGGAACAUACUCGGAAAAUGUUAUUGACAACUAUGCACAGCUCCAUCCAUGGGACCUUCCAAACAACUCCGUGACCUUCACAACCACUCGGGCAAGUAUUACUGCAAUUUUGUUCUCUCUCAAGAUUAUAGCUGAGAAACCGACUUUUAGAGAGAGGUAGUUCAUUAAUGACACAUAGCAAGUUAGAGGCAGGACUAGAACUGGCAGACUGGAACUAGUUGCUAGAAUUGUGGUUACUCCAUAGAAGUGAUGACAAGAAUGAGUUAUUACUGCAAUUAAUGUCCCUGGCUAAAAAAAUAUAUAAAUUUUCAACCACUUUGGGAAAACUAUUUGACACUUUUUAUUAAGGUUGAUAGUGCUCAUUCCCAUAUUAUCCAGCUAUUUCACUUCUACUCUGGAAAUUCAAGCACAUAUGCACCAGGAUACACAGGCGAGAAUGUUCACAGCAACAUUUUCAUAAUAUCCCCCAAGCUGGAAGCAACUCAAAUGCUCAUCAGCCGUAGAAUGGAUGAUGAAUUGUGGUAUAUGCAUACAUUUGAAUGCUAUAGAGCAAAGAAAACAUGAACCAGAGCAACAAACAAGAAGAUGGGCGGAUCUCACAAAUAUAAUUGUUGGGCAAAAGAAGAAUUUAUAAAAGAAACAUAGAAUAUGAUUCCAUUUAUACAAAGCCCAAAACAGGGAACUUAAUCACACUGUUUAGGAAUGCAGACAUAGGGGGUAAAAUUACAAGGAAAAGCAAGGACAAGAUUCUCAACAAUCAAGUUGGUGAUUACCUCUGGUGGGGCAGAAGGCAGAGGUGAUCAGGAACAGACUUCUGGGGUACUGGCAAUGAUCUGUUUCUUGACCUGGGUGAUAGUUAUACAGAUGUUGCCUUAUAAUUAUUGUUCAAACUGUAUGCUUUAUGCAUCCUUCACAUUUUCUUCCGUAGUCUCUGAAUUGACAGGCUACCCAUCAUCACACUUCUUUAUUUCCUACAGUUUACCUCUUACUAUUUCUUGCACUUUGAUAGUGAACUUAAAUGUGUUGUUUUAUAUAUUUUUAAAUGAAUAAAACACAAAGAGUUAAAGUUAGAAUUUCUAAUAAAUCCAAUUCAAUCAACAUAUAUACUAGCUGUAAGGGGCGAACUUUACUUUCACACACAUUUAUACCAAAGUUAGGCAGAAAUUCAGACCAGCAAACAUCCAUUUUUCUGCCAUUAAUCCACAAAGACAAUUUUGAUGGCAUUUUAAAUCUUCCCCACAGUCAAGAUCACACCAUAUGAUCCGAAGUGAUUGCCAUAUGGAUGAAAUAAAAUCAAAAAAAGCUCUGAAUAAAUUGGUUAACAUUGACUUUCUUUGAAUGGAGACUUUGAGUAGAUGGAAAACAGACUUUCCUCUCUGAUAUGAAAAAAACAUUUAAGUAGGAAGGGAGAAAAAUACAUCACAUGAGGUGGAAAAAAGGAAAAUAAGAAUCAACAGUAUUCACUCUACAUCUUAAGAAAUAUUGUGUACAAUAGGCAUUGUCCAUUUCAUUAAGAAAUGUAAAUAUUCCUCUGCCUUUCUCGUUUUCAACUUGCAUGCACGCGCACAUACACACACACACUGUAUGCUAUGCACGAAAAUCCUGCCGUUACCUGAAGAGGGUCAAGGACACACCUGGCUGCAGCAGGCUUCUCCUCUCUCUCCAACUUGGGCUCCAACUCGGGCUCCAACUCCUGCUCCUCUCCCGGGCUGUCUGGACUCUGGGGCUCUGGGCAGGGCCUAAAGUAGUCCAAGGGAGGUGGCAAUCACUGUGAUGUCACUGAUGAAACAUCUCAAAGGAACAACCUCCAAAGGUUUGAGGCUAUUUGUGUUUAGGUGGACAUGGAAAUAUGUUGGCCAAGACUCCGUUCCUUUGGCUGCCAAUUUGUAUUAACACACCUGGGACUUAAAAUCUUCUCCUUCCAGUUGACUUUUGGUGCAAUUGAUGUGGGUUUUAAAUUUAUCUUUUACAUCUUCAUGAAUAUCUCUAACAUGUGUUUAAAACAUCAUAAACCAAGAGUGAUAGACUAAUGUUAAGAAAUAAAUGCUGCAUUUGGCUGUGAGACUGCAUUUACACCCUUAGCAUGUGAGGGUGUAAAAAUGUGACUUCAUUGUGCCACAUAUCUUUAACUAUUUGAAAUAUAGACAGUGCUCUGCUUUGCACACAUACAGCAAAACUACACACAUACACACCAGAAU